RNAcentral lists this ribosomal RNA (723 nucleotides) under uncultured fungus. Its description in RNAcentral is "eukaryotic LSU rRNA". It matches the Rfam family "Eukaryotic large subunit ribosomal RNA", at positions 24 to 664 of the family's 3401-position model. Lineage: Eukaryota; Fungi. The record is from RNAcentral.
CCCGCUGAACUUAAGCAUAUCAAUAAGCGGAGGAAAAGAAACUAACAAGGAUUCCCUUAGUAACUGCGAGUGAAGUGGGAAAAGCUCAAAUUUAGAAUCUGGCAGUCACUUGGCUGUCCGAGUUGUAAUCUAGAGAAGUGUUGCCCGUGCUGGACCAUGUACAAGUCUCCUGGAAUGGAGCAUCACAGAGGGUGAGAAUCCUGUCUUUGACAUGGACUGCCAGUGCUUUUGUGGUAUGCUCUCAAAGAGUCGAGUUGUUUGGGAAUGCAGCUCAAAAUGGGUGGUAAAUGCCAUCUAAAGCUAAAUAUUGGCGAGAGACCGAUAGUGAACAAGUACCGUGAGGGAAAGAUGAAAAGAACUUUGGAAAGAGAGUUAAACAGUACGUGAAAUUGCUGAAAGGGAAACGCUUGAAACCAGCGAUGCUUGCGGGUGAUCACUUCUGGUGCUCUCACCCGUCGGCAAGUCAGCGUCAGUUUUGGUCGCCGGAAAAAGAACCAAGGGAAUGUGGCUUCCUCCGGGGAGUGUUUAUAGCCCUGGUUCGUACGGUGGCUGGGACUGAGGUCUGCAGUCAAAGCUUUUUGCUUGGAGGCCCGGUCGCUGGUGGCAAAUCGGUGCUAGACAGCUUGCUGACUGGGGCUGAUUCUGUCUCCACACGGUCGAGGUCUCUCAAAUUGGCUUAGGUCGCUGACUUAAUGGUUUAAAAUGACCCGUCUUGAAACACGG